CGCGGCGAGCGAGCAUGGGUGGAGGAGCUGAGGGUGUGAGCAGGGCUGCAGCGGGCAGGUCCAAGGCAGGGAGAGUCUCCAUAACAGCUCUGCACGAUGGGAGGACCCCAAGACAGCAGCCCAAGGAGGACAGGCAUUCUCGUGAGACAGCCGGAAUCCAGGUCUUCAGCUCCUCUGUGGUGCCGCAGGGGCUCCUGGGAGUCCGCCAUCUUGUGGACAGUGAACGGCCAGCCGUCUGCUCUCUACUGGAUCUGAAGACAUCCCUGGGAGCAGAGCGGAUGUUGGUAGCAGAUUCCAGUAUGGGAAGCUCAGAGAAGUUUCCAGAUGGCAGAUUAUGGGAUUUUUUUCCGCCUUCAAAAUUGUGAGUUGACUUCCAUUUUAAAAAUUCCCUUACCUGUAUCUAUAUUUAUAUCCAUACAUGUAUCUAUCUGUAUCUUACUGGUUCUGUUUAUAUUGUGUAUAUGCAGUAGCUAUCAUAGACUUUUUUUUUAUAUUGCAGAAACUUUUUAUUUAUUUAUUUAUUUAUUUUUAAAGGUUUUUUAAUAUAUAAGAAAAUCAUCUUAAACAUUUCCCCCCAUCUUCCCAUAUGGAUAACUGCAGUAAUUAGAAAGAAUUUGGGGGAGAUUGUAACAUUAUUGCAUGUGAAAUCUUAGUGAAAAAGUUCCCCUUUCCACCAGUCUUGACCUAAAACCAAGGUGACUUUUUUUUUUGGUAUAAUGAUCAUAGCAAUCUAAUUUCACAGGAUUUCUAUCCCAUAGCCCAAGCAUACCCCCCCCACCCCAAAAACUCUCU
Non-coding RNA from Sus scrofa (pig), 792 nucleotides. NCBI's taxonomy places the organism in Eukaryota, Metazoa, Chordata, Mammalia, Artiodactyla, Suidae. The record is from RefSeq and is a predicted model, not a curated record.